Podarcis lilfordi (Lilford's wall lizard) is the source of this 154-nucleotide non-coding RNA. Lineage: Eukaryota; Metazoa; Chordata; Lepidosauria; Squamata; Lacertidae. The record is from the annotation of a GenBank genome assembly.
AUCCUUACCUGGCAGGGGAGAUUCCUUGAUCAUGAAGGAGGUUUUCCCAGGGUGAGGCUCCUCCACUGCGCUGACCCCUGCGAUUUCCCCAAAUGUGGGAAACUCGACUGCCUUUAUUUGUGGGGAGUGGUGAAAGGGUAUGGCUGAGCUCUUC